RNAcentral lists this ribosomal RNA (807 nucleotides) under uncultured fungus. Its description in RNAcentral is "eukaryotic LSU rRNA". The stretch from base 450 to 600 matches the Rfam family "5.8S ribosomal RNA". The record is from RNAcentral. Lineage: Eukaryota; Fungi.
AGUCCGMAUUCGCCCUUCUUGGUCAUUUAGAGGAAGUAAAAGUCGUAACAAGGUUCUCGAGGAACAACACCUGCCGAAGCCUUGGAUACCACCAGUCUACUUAGUAGGCAACAUCUUCAAUGUGCUUGGAUACCAUCAUGGUAACAUGCAGUGCUGAUAGCAGUUCACAGAUCAAACGAAGGUGGUCCAAAAACAGCUAACCCUGUCUUGGAUUCAGAUAUGACCGGCCUACUUCUGAAAAGGCUGUAGCCAUGUGUUCCGUAGGUGAACCUGCGGAAGGAUCAUUACAGAGAAAUUGCCCUUGGGGUAGAUCUCCCACCCUUUGUUUACAUUACCUUUGUUGCUUUGCAGGCCCGUCUUUUGACCACCGGCUUAGGCUGGUCUGUGCCUGCCAGAGACCCUAAACUCUUGAUUUUUUGUGUUGUCUGAGUAAUAUAACAAAUAAUUAAAACUUUCAACAACGGAUCUCUUGGUUCUGGCAUCGAUGAAGAACGAGCGAAAUGCGAUAAGUAAUGUGAAUUGCAGAAUUCAGUGAAUCAUCGAUCUUUGAACGCACAUUGCACCCUCUGGUAUUCCGGGGGGUAUGCCUGUUGAGCGUCAUUUCAACCCUCAAGCCUAGCUUGGUAUUGGGUGUUACCAGGAAUGGUACACCUUAAAAUCAGUAGCGGCGCCAUCUGGCUUCAAGCAUAGAAAACUUUUGCUUUGGAGGUUUUGAUGUGUGCUUGCUAUCAACCCCCUAUUUAUCAAAGGUUGACCUCAGAUCAGGUAGGGAUACCCGCUGAACUUAACAUAUCAAUAAGCGGAGGA